Chiroxiphia lanceolata (lance-tailed manakin) is the source of this 3433-nucleotide long non-coding RNA. RefSeq lists it as uncharacterized. The transcript is spliced from 5 exons. The record is from RefSeq and is a predicted model, not a curated record. NCBI's taxonomy places the organism in Eukaryota, Metazoa, Chordata, Aves, Passeriformes, Pipridae.
AAGCACAAUCAGCUCCCCUUGCUAGGAAGUGACAAAUGCGCCUUAGGGCACGGUAUCGAUGAUGUGCGGAUCACGGUCUCUAACGGCGCACAGCGGGGCCAUUAUCGUGUGUUGUCACCGCGUGCCAUUAAAAGGACUUUAAUCUGCCGAUCGCCGCCGCGAUACGCGGCUCCUGCCAGGGAUCUACCGACUGACAGGCCGGGACGCUGCGAAAUCCCCCAGCCCCCGGGGUCGCCUGAAAAACACGGCCCGGCUCCCCCGUCAGUCAAUCGCGGCAACUCAAUUAAUGCAUCUGGGUCAGGAAAAUGGUUUGCGGGAGCCUGAGCCCGGUUACGAAACGCGGAUACCGCGGCGGGUACCGCGGGCGGCGGCGGAGGGCAGCACCCGCUGAGCCCAGUUCUGAAUAACAGCACCACAUUCUGUCCUGGAGGUGUCCCUGGAACACCUGGGCAUUUUCUUAAGAUUUCUCCUACAUCUACCCUGAAGCAAAUGCAAGCAGAACUGAGGAAUCUCAGCCUCUUCUCUGGUGCUGGCAGAACUUGCCUCUUGUCAUUGCAGGUCUGGUAAGAGACUGGUCAGCCUGGCCACCUGCAAGGCUCUGCCCAGCCCUUUACAUCGUCUCUGACAGCAGCCACUGGCUGACCACCCACCCGAGAUGGGCUCAGCCCAAGGAAUGCAAGAAGCAUACGGAGCUUGUUCACAAAUCCUCCCUGGCACUGGAAACAAAGCACCAUAUGCUCGAGCAGCCAGAGCAAAAGGAUGCAUCCAAGGCAAAGGGAGUCAAGAACAGAAGGGCAAGGGAGGUACACAGGGAAGGCACCAGGACAUCUGCUUCAUGAUUCCCCUCCUCCUUGUGGCCACUGGUGGGUAACACCAGGGGGUGCCUCUCUGACUUCACUUUCUGACAUCCUGCCCCUAAGGUGGCUCUUUAUGGGCAUCUUCCCCUUUCUUACUGCUUUUGGACAUCAUCACUUCUCUCCUCUUUGCCUUAGGCUUUCCUGGCCCCUUGCUGUGUUAGCUGCCUGCUCAGCCCAGUGUGCAGGUGAAACCAACAGCUGUAUCAGCAACAAGCACUGGGAGCAAGGAGAUCAGGUCCUGUAUGUGUGCCACUGUCCCCAGAACAGAGCAUGGUAGGCAAGCCCCCACUCCUCUGUCACUGAUGCAUAAGUCACAAAGGUCACCUGCAUCACUGGUCUGUCACACUGGGUGUGCUGGCUCAGACUGUAGAUAUUCAGAGUUUUAAUUAACAUGGAAACAAGUAGGGCUUUCUUUUUUGAACAUGUAUAGUUGAGGCUGAUAAAGUUUUGUGUCAGUUUAUUGUUUUGUGUGAGCUUGUUGCCUUUGAGAUGUGUGAUUUCCAACAUGUAUACUCGAGUCUGAUAAAGUUUUGUAUCGGUUUAUUGCCUUUAAAAUGUAUGAUUUUCAUGUUUGUCCUGAAUUGUAUCUGUUAACAUUUCUUCUUUUUCUGGACAACCAACAGAAAAAUGCUUGUAUUAGGAAUUGAGAUAAAUGGUUUAUUGACUCAUUUGAAAUAUCUUUUUUUUUUAUGAUAUAAAGUCACUUAUACUCAAUACUCAAUCUCAAAUGGCAAAAGAAAACAUAAAAAAGGGACAGCAUAAAUGUCAGCACUACAACACACCAUGAAAAUGAUCUCUGAAGAACCCCCUACACUCUCCAGCUCCUCAUGGAGCUUCUGACCUGGUCAACAGUCACAGAUCUGUACCAGAACAUCCCAUGUCUUCCUGCCAUCAUGCUGACCUCAUGGAUGAGGGAUGCAAAGCAUGCCUUCAGUCCCUGGGAAACACUGCAGGCAUCCCAGUGACACUUGUGUUGAAUUUCCACUCUGGGGCAGAAGAAUUCAGCAAGUCUCUUAUUCAUAGCUUUGAUGCCUGAGAAUGUACAGGAUUUGGAAAAUGAAGUCUCUCUGACUCUUCCCUUUUUCCAUUUCAGUGUUUUCCUUCCACCUUGCAUUUUGCAGUCCUCUCUGAGGCCCAGCCCAGCCUGCAGACCUGUGCAGGAUCUUUUAUCCCACAGACCACCUUUGGGGAGGUUGUCACGUGGCAGUUGCACAGUGUACAUAAGUAAAGAUGCUACAAGGACUGCACAAGUCACACAAAACCAAACUAAAUUAUAUACUGGUUUUCACUAGGUUCUGAUGACUUCAGAAGCACAGCAAGGGCCUCUGUAAUACUUAUGAAUUACUGACAUGGUAUUAUUUCUGUGCAGGAGCAGGACAAAAUAGUCACACAGGGGGUGAGCUACGGAUCUCACCAUUUCCAUGCAGGAAUAAAAGAACCAGGUACACCUUUCUAGUUUUGAUGCAGGAUUUGGUUUUUAGCACCUGGAUAACAUUACUGACCUCCAGAGCAUUGCUGUAGACUGUGAAGCAGUACCAAAUAAAAUACAAAGUUCUACAUUUUCUUUCUCCUGAAGAUUUUUCUGUCAAACUGGGUCAACUUCUAAGUAAAGCAAGAGAGCAUUUUAAUCUGUCAGCACUUCAAAACCAGUCUGGUACUUGAAAAUUACUUCUGGGCUUAAAAAUGUUAUGGACUCUGAAUUUGGAAGGCAAUAUUGUGGGUACAUAAGAUCUAAUGGUAUAUAAUUCACAACCUGGUCUUUUCUGAUCUUAGUUGACCAUUAUUUUAGCGAAUGUUUCCUUUGGUGAGGUUUGGGGGUGAUAUGAGCAAGUGAAAGCUCCAUGAAGAUAUCUUUGCUAACACUGAAAAUGAAAAACUAGACCAAUAUCCCCCCAGUUUUUUAAUCAGUAGUGUUUGCCACCUUUAAAAAAAUACACUAUAUUAUAGGUGUGGAAGCAGAUCAUAAAACUGCUCUGCCCAGAUCUGCAGGGGAAUCAAACAGAUGGCAGAUUCCACUGCAAUUUGGAUGAAGAUUUCAUAGCUAGAUAAUCAAGAAAAUAGUAAAGUGGUUUCAAGGUCAACAAUGAGGUGAGAAUCAGAUUUUCUUCAGCUAGGAGCAUCUACAGCCUUUCUCACACAUUUAGAGGAAAUGGACCAAACUCAGAAAUUCCUUCACUACCAAGAGCAAAAGCCCUCAGUGUAAGAAGAUAUUGCUACAGGGGAGAAUUUUCUUGGUCAACUAGCUUUUUUAAAAUUAAGAUUAAAACUAUUAUUUCCAAAUAGUUGUGCAUGACUAUUUAUGUGACUGUAUGUUAGUAUGUUUUUUUUAAAUUCAAUUAAACCUACAGGUGGUCAUACACCAGAUUGUAAAUAAUAUUAGUUAUGAAUUUUGGCAACCAAAAUGAUUUUCAAAUAAUGGUUAUUGUUAUUGAAUUUGUUCUGAGACCAACAUGCAUGUAGAGCUGUUGGUAGAUGAUUCUUUUCCUCUGCGCGUGUGUCUUUUAUGCCCUCACAAAUCCCUGAAUUGAGAAGUUAUAGCUUUAAAUGGAAAAUAUCCUCCCUGAUUUGUUGUGUUC